AAUUUCCUGGUGUUUUUUUAUGAUGAAAUCGUCAAUCUAAUAUCUUAAAGUCACAAGCAUUUGUUGCUACAAACAUUACAAUAUAGUGGUAUCUCUACACUCUCAACAGUAAAUUUCGGAUUCACCUUUUGUAAAUACCGAAUUUACUAGCUCAUUGACUUUGCUCAAAUCCAAAUAAAAUUACACCAAUUUGGCCCAACUUUACAGGGCCUCAUUUCAUUAUUGCUUGGCAUGCCAAAGCCCACUAGAUAUGUGGUGACCUGGUUUGGCAACUGCAACUCUGUAUGUUGUACCAAACGUUAUAAUUUUUUAAGUAUACGAGAUACCGCCACUUCGUAUUAUCCCUUCACUUAUAUUAUAACAUAUAUGUUUGAUUUUUAUUAAUAAAAGGGAACACAUAAUUUUAUUUUUCAAAAAACAUAAGUAGAAUAAACAUUGUAGAAUUUGAGUUUAUUUUAGAAGCUGCUCUUUAAGGCUUCAAGCUCCAACAAAAGUUUCCUUAAUGUCAUUUUAUUUACAUACUCGAUCACUGGAGAUGUUUCUUCCCAUGUUCCUCGUAAUGGGAAACAAUGUAGCUCAUUGCCUUAUGUUUGUAUCAUACUUAGGACAUCCGUAUUUAGAUCUCGUAUAAAUACUCAGGGGACUCAAAUGUAAUUAUGUAAUAAAGGAAGGGGCAAAUAUGUAAUAAGUGAGGAGCCCUUAUUCUAUAAAAGGACUCCUCACCCUCACAAUAGGGGGAGGCCAUUUCUUAAGCCUUCUCAUCCCUCUCACAUCCCCUCUCAUAUUCAGAGGUUUUCUCCCUCACCUUUCACAUAAAUACAACAUCAGUGUGGACGUAGCCCAAACCUUGGGGUAAACCACGAUACAUCUUGUGUUAUUUACAUUUCUUGCAGAUUCAUAGUCGGAUUUACGUUGUUCCAAGACCUCCGGUUUUGUGCAUCAACAUUUGGCGCCGUCUGUGGGAAUCGAUACAAAAAGUUGUGUCGAUUCUUUUUCAUUUUUUCACCUCCAUCGUGAAUAUGCAGAAACCCCCACCAAAACACAGCAUAGCUCAGCAGGCUGCUACAAAAUGAGAUUGCCCAAAAUGAUCUCCUCCGUCACCUCCUCCUCGUCCUGCCAGACGACGACGUGUCGCACUCCUCUCCAACCAAUCGUUAAUACCAUCACCAUCACCCAGAGGAAUUUCAUCUCCCUUACCAAAUCAUCAUCAUUUCCCCUCAAACAUUCAAUCUCCAUGAACAAGCAAUAUCUUUCUACCAUUUCUAACUCCAUAUUAGACAACGGAACAUCCCUUGAUCCUCCAAAUCCAGACAAAGAUCGCUCAGAAUUCUGACGUGAGCAACCUUUUUGCCUCGUCGCCUUCGUCUUCUCUGGAAACUACAUCUGGGUUCAGAUUCUCUUCCAGCACCCCAAAAUUGAUCAGGCCGAGCUCGUCUAGCACCGUUAUCUCACUGACCACACCUCGAGAUGCGGCCACCAUGUCCUCUGUUUCGAGGAGCCUCCUUGUCGACAAUCAACGACUGGCAGCAGCCCACGUCAAUUUCAAGCAGAAGAAAGCAGAAGCUUCUGCUUCUUAGAGUAACAAAACGACGCUGCUUGCCUCCGUGUUUCCCAUCACCGAACAAAAUGUCCCAAGAUAUCUACUCUGAGCGCCCCUUGUUCGGUGAUGUCAUCACUAGCACAUUCUUUCUCAGAUUCGAGGAUGUGAGUAACAUUCGACAAGUUCCCGAUCACCAGGAGACUUUUGUGGACCCUACCGGGGAUGAAAGCUUGACCUUUGAGCUUUUGGAAUUGAAGCAUGCAGUCGGCGACAAUGGAAGUGCCAACUGGUUUCUUCAGGACAUUGCCACUGAGCAAGAUGCUGACGGAAGCAUGGUGAUCGAGCAGUCUGGCGUAAUUAAGGCCCCCAGAUUGUGUUAUAGAAACACACAUGCUGUUGUUACGACUAUUGUUGGCCAAAUGGAGGCUCUAGCGCGAGCGCCGAACUGAUGUCGGCUCAGAAGCCGCCGCUGACUGCCGAUAACUGAAAGCGGGAAGGGAGGAGAUUCUCAGACUAAGAAAGCAGCAGCAGCAAUGUGUGUUGGAAUAGGAAGCUUAUGCGAUCCUUUUGGAGCAUAGGGGCUUGCGCAUUUUCUAAAACACAUGCUCUUCAUGGGGAGUACAGAGUUUCCAGAUGAUAAUGCGUAUGAAAAUUACUUGUCCAAGCAUGGAGGUUCAUCAAAUGCAUACACAGAAGCAGAGCAUACCUGGUACCAUUUUGAAGUGAAGCCAGAGUUUCUUAUGGGUGCCUUGAGAAGAUUUUCCCAGUUCUUUGUUUCACCUCUAGUGAAAAUUAAAGCGAUGGAGCGAGAGGUACAUGCUAUAGAUUCAGUUAUGCACAAUACUAACAACACCCUAGUAUUGGGCAAUACCAGCAAAGCCCCAGCGUGGGACAAUGUCAGACAAAUUCAGAUGCUUUUUCAAAAUACCAUAGUGGAUUCUCCCAUGGGAAGUGAUUGGAAAAGCAUUAAAGAGAAGAAGAUAUAUAUAUAUUAUCUCCACUGCAAUUAUCUGCUGCAACUAUGCAAAGCUUGCAUGUGCCCAUAUUCGAACAACAUGCCAUUAUAUGCCGUACAGGCAGGCAGGUGGGACCAACUUGUAUUCAAACAGCAGAAAAAAGAAAAAGGAGGAGGCAUAUAUACCAAAGCUGCUUAUGUCGGUGCAGAUCUUGUCGGCAAGGUUGAAAGAAAUAUUCCUGAGGAUGACCCAAGAAACCCAGCUGUGAUAGCUGAUAAUUGCCUGCGCACUUCCUCAACCAAUACGGAAACGUUGUCUGCCAUUUUCCAAAAGGGAAAAGAGAAAGCAAAAACAAGGAAUAAACACCCCACCAAAAUGAUGUGAUUUACUUUUCUUGUUUUUGUAUGAUGAGAUUUAUUUUUUUUAUUCGGAGACAUCUAUAUAAACCCCAUCAGAAGGUAAUAAUAAAAAUAAAAAUAAAAAUAAAACAAAACAGCAAGCUCAAAAUAAAGGGGCUGAAAUGUUGUGUGGAGAGCGAAGGCCCAUAAGCCCAAAAUAGCACCAACCAGGCUACCAAAAGUACGCCCAGUACUACAAAAAUUAUUCAGCACCCCGUCGCUAUUAUCACCAACCAGGUGAUCAAAAGUAAGCCCAGUACUUCAAAUUAUACAUGAGCAUUACUCAUGUCAAUCAUACAUAAACAUUCAUGAGCAUUACUCAUGUCAAUCAUAAACAUUCAUGAGCAUCACUUAUAUCAAUCAUACAUAAACAUUCAUGAGCAUCACUCAUGUCAACAUCCAUGAGCAUCACUCAUGUCAAUCAACAUAAACAUUCAUGAGCAUUACUCAUGUCAAUCAGCUUCAAAAGCUUCAUUUACAAAAGCUCUAGCUUUAAAAGCUUCAUUUACAGAGCUCUAGCUUCAAAAACUUCAUUUACAAAAGCUCUAGCUUCAAAAGUUUCAUUUACAGAGCUCUAGCUUCAAAAGCUUCAUUUACAAAAGCUCUAGCUUCAAAAGCUUUAUUUAUAGAGCUCUAGCUUCAAAAGUUACAAAAGCUCUAGCUUCAAAAGCUUCAUUUACAGAGCUCUAGCUUCAAAAGCUUCAGUUACAAAAGCUCUAGCUUCAAAAGCUUCAUUUACAGAGCUACAGCUUCAAAGCUUCAUUUACAAAAGCUCUAACUUUAAAAGCCUCAUUUACAGAGCUACAGCUUCAAAAGUUUCAUGUACAAAAGCUCUAGCUUCAAAAGCUUCAUUUACAGAGCUCUAGCUUUAAAAGUUUCACUUGUAAAGCUUCACCUACAAAGCCUCAGUGCAGGGUAUACAAAUACCGAAUCCGAACAACCGCCACUUCGGCCUAUACAUGGAUUCAAUUUGAAGUCUUCAGCCAACAGACUCUAUUGACCGAAGACUUGGAGGACUACAUUAUGUACCUUAUAUAUUGGGCCUCAACUGGGCCUCAUGGAAAAUACUUGGGGGACUCUAGCCCAUCACUUAUGUAUUGAGGAGCGAGCACUUAUUCUAUAAAAUAGACUCCCUCACUUUCAUUAGAGAGCAUCCAUUAGUCAUGUACUGAGGAGCGAGCCCUUAUUCUAUAAAAGGGACUCCCACACCAUCAUUAGAGAGCAUCAACUCUAGCCCAUCAUUCAUGUAUUGAGGAUCGAGCUCUUAUUCUAUAAAAAGGACUCCCUCACCUUCACUGCCACAAGCCGAGCCAACCAAGGCAACAUAAGCCACGAGCCGAGCAGCCUCGCAGCAUGUGCUCUUUCUAGUUGAGCAUCAUUACAGAUCGGGCACCGCCGCAUACCGAGCAUUAGUUCAAGACGACAUCUAGUUACUUCGGCCCACACAUGGACUGAAUUUCAAGUCUUCAGCCAAAAGACUAGUUACUUCGGCCCACAUAUAGACUGAAUUUCAAGUCUCCAGCCAAAAGACUUUCUUGACUGAAGACUUGGGGGACUACUGUUUGUACCAUACAUAAGGCCUCCGUAUUUAGAUCUCGUAUAAAUACUCGGAGGACUCAAAUGUAAUUAUGUAAUAAAGGAGGAGGCAAAUAUGUAAUAAGUGAGGAUCCCUUAUUCUAUAAAAGGACUCCUCACCCUCACAAUAGGGGGAGGCCAUUUCUUAAGCCUUCUUAUCCUCUCACAUCCCCUCUCAUAUUCAGAGGUUAUCUCCCUUACCUCUCAGAUAAAUACAACAUCAGUGUGGACGUAGCCCAAACCUUAGGGUGAACCACGAUACAUCUUGUGUUAUUUACAUUUCUUGCAGAUUCACGGUCGGAUUUAUGUUGUUCCAAGACCUCUGAUUUUGUGCAUCAACACCUUACUAAACUGGCCAUUUACUCUUGUGGAGUUUGUACUUGGUUUAAAGAACCUUCUGAUGUUAACAGUAGCGGAUUUAGAAAUUCUUUCAUGGGUGGUGAAAUAUUAAACAUUAUAAGUUAUUUUAGACAACAAAGCUUUAUUGGAACUUUGAAAUUUGGGGUUUAGGUUGAACGAUACAAGUAUGCAUGAUGUAGUAUUUUUCACUAAGUUGUCAUGUUGGUGGGUGAGUCUUAGCAAUGCUGGCACUAGAAAAAUUGGGAGAGGAAGUUGUGAUGGAGAAAUUUAAGUGACGAAGUGGUUGAAUUUGUGUACACAACAUUGUUCAGGUUUUCUUGUCAAAUUACGACACUAAUUACACAUAACAAUCUCAACGUUUCUUGACAAAAUACAAUUUAGAUAUAACCAUUCUUUUAUAAAUCCUCUUCCAAAUAUCAUCAACAAAGGACAGAUUAUAUUAUAUUCAAUAGAAUAGAGAAGAUAAAUUUCACAUAAAACAAAAAGGAAGGAGAGAAAAUUGCAUUUUUAAUCGAAGUUUAUGUCGAGUCUUUGACUAGGCCUUGGUUGAAGAUGGCUUCCUCUUCAGAAAUUACAAAAGCUACUUGUGAAUAAACCUGAAAAUAUGGCCUCAUCUUCCAUCCCUACACUACAUACUUGUUUUAUGUGGGCAUUCACACCUAUUUCACAACAGCAUUGAAGGUUCAUGUGUUUAAAAGAAAAAGAAGGAAAAAAAAAAAAAGUGACCAAAACGAGCUAUUUUGGUCUAGGUUUUAAAAACCAGAACACGAGGCUUUCUUCUUCCUUGGCUGAAGCAUGCAAUGCUGCCAUGGGCAGCCCCCUUGCCGCCAUGCCUUCCCCAGCUGUUAGGUGGGCAAAAUUCGGGCAGUAGGGAGAAAUUUUGAGGUAUGGGUGGGCAGCUUCCUACCCUUGCCAUACCAUGGAUCCGCCACUGGAUGAGAUGUCAUUAGGCCAUCUCUAACCGAAGGGUCCAAAGGGCCAGAGGGCCAAAAAUAGCCCUAAAACCGUCUCCAACCGAGGGCUAGGCCAGAGGGCUCUGGAAUCUGGGAGGGCCCCACGGGAUCAGAGAGGGCUGGAGGGCUGGCUGCUUUCGGCCAGCCAGCUAGCCCCGGGCUGGCUAUUUUUUUUUUAUAGUUUUGUUAUUCCUGUCGGUUA
Molecule: long non-coding RNA, 5984 nt
Filed under: Malus domestica (apple)
Lineage: Eukaryota; Viridiplantae; Streptophyta; Magnoliopsida; Rosales; Rosaceae
Description: long non-coding RNA (MDOM_LNC009973)
Source: RNAcentral